Molecule: unclassified non-coding RNA, 3016 nt
Filed under: Hevea brasiliensis (rubber tree)
Lineage: Eukaryota; Viridiplantae; Streptophyta; Magnoliopsida; Malpighiales; Euphorbiaceae
Source: RNAcentral
ACAUUUUUUUUUUUUUUUUUUUUCAAGCAUUUGAACCAGUGCCCUGCAAGUGUUAACUGAAAAGGAAAAAAUUCCAGUAAGAGAUGGUUUCAUGUCCUCAUAUUUGCAUCAUUCAUCUAAAGCCAGAACAAAGAGACUCGUUUUUUGGUGUUCAAAUAAUGCUGCCUAACAGUGUUCUGCUUUGAAUUGGCCUUCUGCAGAAUGGACAUGGCUUAUCUGCUAAGCGGUCUGAACAUUUGCUGCAUGUCUGUCAGAAAAAAGAUAAUUCAUAAAACAAAAAAUGCAUCAAAUUUCUUCCAUUUGAUGUAUCUCCUGUAAAAGCUUAAAUAAAAAUAGCAUCAAAGGCGAACUACCUGAUGUCCACAAUCAAAGACCACUUCCUUUAAAUUCCAGGUGCAAAUGGAACAAAACAUUUCUUCAUUAAUUUGGCUCACAGUAAGCAGAGCUGAAUCAACAGGCUGGCUGUCUCCUUCACAAGGAGGUACAUGUGAGCUAUUGAAAGAUGAUUCUCCAAUUUCAGGUGGAGGAAGGGGAAUCCUCUCAGGAACGCUUCCUAUUUGACAACUGUCAAUUAAAAUGAAAAGGUAAAAAUAUAACAAAAAGAUGCAUCAGUUUUCAAUUGAUAAAGACUUUAAAGAAUGACCAGAAGGAAAAUAUUUUUUUUUUACCCCAAAUUUAGAUAUUUUGUUGUGCUAUACUGAGAGGGAAUUUUCAUCAGAGCAGCAAGAGCAAAUUCUAUCUCCUUUCUGGAUGUCUCCUCAUUCUUUGACAUAAUUUCCGUGAAAUUCACAAAAUGAAAGUUAUCGAAGUCUCGAGCAGGGAUGUUAUCACAAAACUCCUUCAUAUUAUCCCAGGUUUCAUCUCCAUCCCCAACUAAUAUAAUGGAUAAGGGAAGCUUGCUUGCUUGUACAAUGGCUUCAGUAGUCUUUUGGACCUGCAGGCCACCGACCUGAGAUGAGCAUUAAAUAUAUUGCAUUAAAGCGUUGGAUGAUUAUCCAGUCACAAAAAUUGAUCCACAGUUGAUAGCCAUCAUUUCCGCAGAAACCGUAGGAGAUCUGAAACCCAUUCUUGAACCUUUACUUGCAAGCUUAAGCUUUUUGGCUGCAUUAUAUAAGAAACUCUUUAACCUUAAAGUCCUGGGUUCAAAUCUAGAAACCCCAUAUUAUUAAUUAAAUUUCAACACAAGGAAAAAAUGAAUUAGUGCUUGACCACAUUUCUAGCCAAUAGGUUCCGGUUUGAAUCCUGGCCAGUGGCCAUCCCACCUCAUAUUAUUAUCAAUUAAUUCCAUCACAAAUUAAAAGUGGGUUAGUACUCGACCACAUUUCUAGCCAAUAGGUUCCGGUUUGAAUCCUGGCCAGUGGCCAUCCCACCUCAUAUUAUUAUCAAUUAAUUCCAUCACAAAUUAAAAGUGGGUUAGUACUCGACCACUCUUCAAAACCCAGUGGACUUUUGCAUUAGGGGGAUUUAGUGAUAUAAAAUCUUAGGUUUUAGACCUAAUGACUAAAGAGUCCAAACCUUUGCAUGCAUUUUCAACUUUAGCCACAAUAUUUAAUUUUAUCAAUUUGAUUCUCAAUAGCAAUCAAAUUAUUUGCUAGAUGAAAAUGCAUGAAAUUGCUAACAUGGCAUUCAGUGUGGUGCAACAUAAUAGAAAGCAACAAAGUAUAUGUUGAAGGAGUGAAAUGGAAUACUCAGAAUGUAUUGGAACCAACUAUUCCAUUCGAUUGUUUCUUUACAAGCAUCUGUAUUUGAUAUGAUUACUAAUAUAAGGCACCAAAGAUUAAUUUCAUUUAGAACAUAUGAACAUAAAACUCUUCUUUCCAUUUUUCUUAGAAAACUUUUCCAAGUUUUCCACAAGCGAACAAUCGCAAAUUUCCUUCCUUUCCCAUUGUCAAAGAACAAAAUCUAUUCUUGAGCCUAUGACUAAAAAUGUAAACUUUUACAUUGAAAAGUUAUUUAAUAUGAUUAAACUUUUAGAUUGAGUAGUUCUUCAAUAACCACUUCCAUUCCAAACUCUCUACAUAUAGGGCAACAAAGGAGCAGCAAACCACAUACAAAGAAGGAUCAUUUACUAGACAUCAAAUAAAAAAUAAAACAAGCAUACAAGAAAAUACCUCUCCAUCUGCAAUUAUCAGUAAUACAUAAUACUGACCACCACUUUGCUUGACAAUGGUCAUUGCCAUUUCAAUGAUAGGUGCAAAUGAUGUUGCCCCUGAAAGUUGCAAGUAAGGCACAAUGUCCCUGUAGCGACCUAAGACUUCCUCAAAUCCAUUACAAAUUCUCUUAUCCGGAUAGAAGGAGAACACAUCUCGAUCACGUGUUGAUGCAUCCCCAAAUCCAAAACAAGGAAUCAUGUUAUCCUCAUCAAAAGGAGCUCAAGUUUUCCCAAUAAUGGAUAUUACUUGUUCGUAGGGAUUUGAAACAUCUCCAAUGUGAUGCAAGCAUCGUUUGCCAAAUGAGCUGUGACCUGUCCACUCAUUACUUUUCGUGAAAUCAAUACCAAGAAGAAUUUUUGAGGACUCAAGGCCUGCACGUGCAAGAGCAUCUCUCACCUGAUCCAAAGUUUCGCACUCAGCAGCAAGUGUUUCAGAGCAGAAGCCGAAAUAUUCUUCAAAAUAGGAUGACUGAGGAUAUCCAUAUGGACCCCUUGAAGAAGAAUUUGAACCCUCACAUGAGUUUCGGCCCCACAGCUUGCUUCCCCAUUUUGGAAAGCUGAGCGUGAAAAAUUUUGGGGGUAUGGUCGGUGAGUAAUGGAAAUCGACAAGAUCUCAGAAUUCCUUUUUGUGAAGUAACAACACCCUUGAUCAGUUCCUCCUGCUAGAUCCUAUCAGCAUCAAUCAGCAGAACCCAAGAACCCGACUCAGUCGCCAGGAGAAGCAACAAGCUGUGAAGGAAUGAUCUCGAAAUUUAUGCUACUUGAACUAGUUCAUACCCUAAACCGGCGUAUUGUAUAUUCUUGGGUAUAAUUUUCCUUAAGCGGGUGGGCUUCAAUUGAUCCAAUGCCAGACAGACAGCAAUA